UUUUACUAAUUAAAAAAACAAACAAACCAGGUACCCAAAUUCUCUAACAAUUGAAUUAAAAAUAAUCUGACAAAAGGUGCAACAAUUUCCAAAAAGGAUUUGAGAGAGCACUUAAAAAUUAAAUCUGCAGUGGGUCAUAAAAAAGAUCUCAAUGCUUAGCAAAUUUUAAAAGGACUCAUGUCUUUCUGAUAUAUACAUAUAUAUAUUCAUGUAUAUGAGUUUCAUAUUCAAGGAGGUAAGAAAAUGUGACAAACUUCAAAAUGUUAAAAGCACACACUUAAUGCACCACCCAUUAUUAUUUCAUAAAUUGACAGCCUUUGCCAGUUUCUUGUACUAUUUAAUGUGUACUAAUAAUAGUUGGUAUUUACUUAGCAUUUUCCACUAAACUCCAACAUAUUUUCAGAUGCUGUUUAAUUUAUCCUUACUGGUUAUAUAUUUUUAAAAACUUACAGGGACAUUGUAAGAAGUUGUAUGGAAAGAAUUCUUUGAUUUUUAUAUUAUUAUAAAGUCAUGCAUUGAUUCAACAUGUAUGUAUUGAGUGCCUACUAUGUGUCAAGCCCUCUGUUAAUAGGGAUAGAACAAAAAUGGAAACCAACCACAAUCCUUGUUCACUGAAGCACUAAUUUUUUUAAAGAGUAGCUCAGUUUGUUGUGCUAUUCAUGGAUCUCACCUCUACAGACCACUCAUGCUAACCCUGUAGAAGACAGUUGGCCCACCUGUAAUAACUAAAGCUGACAGUG
This 740-nucleotide long non-coding RNA is filed under the name Pan troglodytes (chimpanzee). Its description in RNAcentral is "long non-coding RNA NONPTRT003957". Lineage: Eukaryota; Metazoa; Chordata; Mammalia; Primates; Hominidae. The record is from RNAcentral.